CAGUUGGUUCAGUUCAGUUCGUGUUCCGGGAACGAAAUUCCCUUUUGGUCCGAUGAUCCGCGUCCGCGUUCCGCGUACAACAUUGAGGAAUUUUCAGGAUGCAACUUGAAGGAGCCGUUAGCCGUUACCUCGUUGUUACAGCCAGAGACGAUGUCGGUCUAUUUUUCCAGUCUCUCUUCAAAUGCAGCCUCAAAAAUAAAUGUUUUUGAAGGGCUUCCUGCACUCCAGCUUGCUCCCUCUUUCUGGAUUUCUUACAUUCUGGAUUAAGAAAGCGGCUACUAUUCUAUGACAUGGCUGUCAGUUUCUCAUCUGAGCAGCCAUCCGAUAGGAAAUUAGCAGCGACUAAAAAUCAUCUGGUUUUGAGAAAUUCACCAUGAAUUGCCUCAAAGCAACAUCAUCAAAAGCAGUUGAAGUGUGUUCAGAGAA
Non-coding RNA from Bemisia tabaci, 426 nucleotides. NCBI's taxonomy places the organism in Eukaryota, Metazoa, Arthropoda, Insecta, Hemiptera, Aleyrodidae. The record is from RefSeq and is a predicted model, not a curated record.